RNAcentral lists this ribosomal RNA (464 nucleotides) under uncultured bacterium. Its description in RNAcentral is "partial 16S ribosomal RNA". It matches the Rfam family "Bacterial small subunit ribosomal RNA", at positions 338 to 795 of the family's 1533-position model. The record is from RNAcentral.
CCUACGGGAGGCAGCAGUAGGGAAUUUUCGUCAAUGGGCGCAAGCCUGAACGAGCAAUGCCGCGUGAACGAGGAAGGUCUUCGGAUCGUAAAGUUCUGUUGAAGGGGAAAAAGAGCGGAGAGAGGAAAUGGUCUCCGAUUGAUAUUACCCUUCGAGGAAGUCACGGCUAACUACGUGCCAGCAGCCGCGGUAAUACGGAGGUGGCGAGCGUUAUCCGGAAUGAUUGGGCGUAAAGGGUGCGUAGGCGGCCUGCUAAGUCUGGAGUGAAAGGUACCGGCUCAACCGGUACAGGCUCUGGAAACUGGCGGGCUAGAGAGCAGGAGAGGGCGGUGGAACUCCAUGUGUAGCGGUAAAAUGCGUAGAUAUAUGGAAGAACACCAGUGGCGAAGGCGGCCGCCUGGCCUGUUACUGACGCUGAGGCACGAAAGCGUGGGGAUCAAAUAGGAUUAGAUACCCCAGUAGUC